GACGAACCGUGCGAACGUUGUUCGGAAUCACUGGGCUUAAAGGGCGCGUAGGCGGGCUGUCAAGUCUGGGGUGAAAUGCCGCGGCUCAACCGUGGAACUGCCUUAGAUACUGACGGCCUCGAGGAAGGUAGGGGCGUGCGGAACUGUAGGUGGAGCGGUGAAAUGCGUUGAUAUCUACAGGAACUCCGGUGGCGAAAGCGGCGCGCUGGACCUCUUCUGACGCUGAGGCGCGAAAGCUAGGGGAGCAAACGGG
This 253-nucleotide ribosomal RNA is filed under the name uncultured bacterium. Its description in RNAcentral is "partial 16S ribosomal RNA". It matches the Rfam family "Bacterial small subunit ribosomal RNA", at positions 524 to 776 of the family's 1533-position model. The record is from RNAcentral.